RNAcentral lists this ribosomal RNA (472 nucleotides) under uncultured bacterium. Its description in RNAcentral is "bacterial SSU rRNA". It matches the Rfam family "Bacterial small subunit ribosomal RNA", at positions 335 to 799 of the family's 1533-position model. The record is from RNAcentral.
ACUCCUACGGGAGGCAGCAGUGGGGAAUAUUGCACAAUGGGCGCAAGCCUGAUGCAGCCAUGCCGCGUGUAUGAAGAAGGCCUUCGGGUUGUAAAGUACUUUCAGCAGUGAGGAAGGUGGGUAUGUUAAUAGCAUAUUCAUUUGACGUUAGCUGCAGAAGAAGCACCGGCUAACUCCGUGCCAGCAGCCGCGGUAAUACGGAGGGGGUUAGCGUUGUUCGGAAUUACUGGGCGUAAAGCGCACGUAGGCGGACUAUUAAGUUAGAGGUGAAAUCCCAGGGCUCAACCCUGGAACUGCCUUUAAUACUGGUAGUCUUGAGUUCGAGAGAGGUGAGUGGAAUUCCGAGUGUAGAGGUGAAAUUCGUAGAUAUUCGGAGGAACACCAGUGGCGAAGGCGGCCUCACUGGCUCGAUACUGACGCUGAGGUGCGAAAGUGUGGGGAGCAAACAGGAUUAGAUACCCUGGUAGCUACG